AUAGAAUUCUGGUCUAGAACCUCUAGGAGGCUUUCGUUUUGACCAAGUUGAGAUGUGAUCAGACCGUAUAAAGUCCACGACACCGGUGAACCCCAGUAAUACCACCUCCACCAGAUCGGUAUUUCCUGCAAAGUUCAGAAAAUCAAUCCAAAGAGAAUGCCAAUCACUGUCGUCAUGAAGAACCGAACAACAUUAUAUUGUGGAUGCCUCCAGUAAGACCAGUGUUGUUUCCAUAAACAAGCCAUGCAUUGUGUCCAAAAGGAUUGAGAGUACUUUGUAGGGAAGUAAAGGUCAUGGGACCCUGUUACUGGUGUACUGAGCACCUUAAUGAGCUCUUGGUUCCUCCUAUUCAACAUAACCUAUUAGUAAGACACUUGGUAGAAUGUGAAAAGUUGAUGCUUAGGGAUUCUAGAUUCAUACUUAUAAAGAUCAGAGUUGACAUAAAUAUUUGCAAAAUCAACACCAAGUUGAGCUUCAACUGUUGAAGAACUAACUUCGAGCAUCCAUGUGGCCGGAUUUUGACCUUCUUUGAUUUUGUUAACUCCUGGAAUAGACUGACAAGUUUGUUCGAGUUAUUAUAUUUUUUUUUUGUUGUAUGAACGGGAGCAUGAAAAGUAAGGAUGCACUCACUUCAAAAUAUUC
Long non-coding RNA from Lactuca sativa (garden lettuce), 642 nucleotides. RefSeq lists it as uncharacterized. The record is from RefSeq and is a predicted model, not a curated record. NCBI's taxonomy places the organism in Eukaryota, Viridiplantae, Streptophyta, Magnoliopsida, Asterales, Asteraceae.